Molecule: non-coding RNA, 26 nt
Filed under: Homo sapiens (human)
Lineage: Eukaryota; Metazoa; Chordata; Mammalia; Primates; Hominidae
Source: RNAcentral
GCCACGACGUAUGAGGAGCGGGAUGC